RNAcentral lists this ribosomal RNA (204 nucleotides) under Ebollia carnea. RNAcentral's name for it is "partial 18S ribosomal RNA". Lineage: Eukaryota; Fungi; Ascomycota; Lecanoromycetes; Ostropales; Stictidaceae. The record is from RNAcentral.
CACCCGCUCCGCGGUGGCGACAUCGGCAGUCUGCGGGAACGUUCCCACUCGGAACAACCCGCAGCCAGGUCCAUUUCGGCCUGGCCCACAGACUAAGUGCCGGUGGGUUCUUCCACGAGGUAGAAUUUCUGAUAUAGUCGGUCCCCAGGGAAUACAACCCAGGGAGAGAAACGUUCCGUAGGUGAACCUGCGGAAGGAUCAUUA